RNAcentral lists this ribosomal RNA (1242 nucleotides) under metagenome. Its description in RNAcentral is "bacterial LSU rRNA". It matches the Rfam family "Bacterial large subunit ribosomal RNA", at positions 1564 to 2816 of the family's 2925-position model. The record is from RNAcentral.
UGAUGACGAGACGCUAAGGCGUUGAAGCAGUGUAUGUCAGACCUCCAAGAAAAGCUCGCAAUGUCACAAAUAAAAACUGCCUGUACCAUAACCGACACAGGUGGGUAGGUAGAGUAUACUAAGGGGCGCGAGAUAACUCUCUCUAAGGAACUCGGCAAAAUGACUCCGUAACUUCGGGAGAAGAAGUGCCUUAUUUAUAAGGUUGCAAUAACAAGAUCCAAGCAACUGUUUAUCAAAAACACAGGUCUCCGCUAAGUCGUAAGACGAUGUAUGGGGGCUGACGCCUGCCCAGUGCCAGAAGGUUAAAGAAGUUGGUUAGUGUAUGCGAAGCUGAUGACUGAAGCCCUGGUGAACGGCGGCCGUAACGAUAACGGUCCUAAGGUAGCGAAAUUCCUUGUCGGGUAAGUUCCGACCCGCACGAAAGGCGUAAUGAUUUGGAUACUGUCUCGGAGAGAGGCUCGGUGAAAUAGACUUGUCUGUGAAGAUGCGGACUACCUGCACCAGGACAGAAAGACCCUAUGAAGCUUUACUGUAACUUGAAAUUGGAAUUGGACUUUGCUUGCGCAGUAUAGGAGGGAAGCGUUGAAAAUAUUCUUGCGGGAGUAUUGGAGCUAUCAGUGAGAUACCACUCUUGUAAUGUUAGAUUUCUAACUUUGAACCAUAAUCUGGUCAGAGAACAGUUUCAGGUGGGCAGUUUGACUGGGGCGGUCGCCUCCCAAAUGGUAACGGAGGCGUACAAAGGUUUCCUCUGAACGGAUAGAAAUCGUAUCUAGAGUGUAAAGGCAUAAGGAAGCUUGACUGUGAGACCUACAAGUCGAGCAGGGACGAAAGUCGGUCUUAGUGAUCUGACGGUACUGAGUGGAAAGGCCGUCACUCAACGGAUAAAAGUUACUCUAGGAUAACAGGCUGAUCUCCCCCAAGAGUUCACAUCGACGGGGAGGUUUGGCACCUCGAUGUCGGCUCAUCGCAUCCUGGGGCGGUAGUACGUCCCAAGGGUUGGGCUGUUCGCCCAUGAAAGCGGUACGCGAGCUGGGUUCAGAACGUCGUGAGACAGUUCGGUCCAUAUCCGGUGUAGGCGCUAGAAUAUUGAGAGGAGCCUUCUUUAGUACGAGAGGACCGAGAAGGACACACCGCUGGUGUACCAGUUAUCGUGCCAACGGUAAACGCUGGGUAGCUAUGUGUGGAGUGGAUAACCGCUGAAAGCAUCUAAGUGGGAAGCCCACCUCGAGAUGAGUAUUCUCA